This 465-nucleotide ribosomal RNA is filed under the name Vreelandella stevensii. RNAcentral describes it as "partial 16S ribosomal RNA". It matches the Rfam family "Bacterial small subunit ribosomal RNA", at positions 338 to 795 of the family's 1533-position model. The record is from RNAcentral. Lineage: Bacteria; Pseudomonadati; Pseudomonadota; Gammaproteobacteria; Oceanospirillales; Halomonadaceae.
CCUACGGGGGGCAGCAGUGGGGAAUAUUGGACAAUGGGGGCAACCCUGAUCCAGCCAUGCCGCGUGUGUGAAGAAGGCCCUCGGGUUGUAAAGCACUUUCAGUGAGGAAGAACGCCUGGUGGUUAAUACCCAUCAGGAAAGACAUCACUCACAGAAGAAGCACCGGCUAACUCCGUGCCAGCAGCCGCGGUAAUACGGAGGGUGCGAGCGUUAAUCGGAAUUACUGGGCGUAAAGCGCGCGUAGGUGGCUUGAUAAGCCGGUUGUGAAAGCCCCGGGCUCAACCUGGGAACGGCAUCCGGAACUGUCCAGCUAGAGUGCAGGAGAGGAAGGUAGAAUUCGCGGUGUAGCGGUGAAAUGCGUAGAGAUCGGGAGGAAUACCAGUGGCGAAGGCGGCCUUCUGGACUGACACUGACACUGAGGUGCGAAAGCGUGGGUAGCAAACAGGAUUAGAUACCCUUGUAGUC